GCUAAAAAUUUAGCCCCCCACACCCGCAUGUAUUUUUACACUACUCCCCUUAAACCAAAACAUUUUCAAUAUUUAGUAAAGGCGAUUAAAAAAAUUUCUGGAGCAAUAACUAUAGUACCGUAAGGGAAAAAUGAAAUAUAAAUGAAAUAAUUUUAAGCAAAAAAAAGUAGAGCUUAAUCCUCGUACCUUUUGCAUCAUGAUUUAACUAGUUUAUUUAAGCAAAAAGACUUUUAGUUUUUAUCCCCGAAUCUAGACGAGCUAUCUUAGGGCAGCUUUAUGAGCAAACCCGUCUCUGUCGCAAAAGAGUGGGAAGACCCUAUUAUAGCGGUGACAGACCAAACGAGUCUAGUGAUAGCUGGUUGCUCUUGAAUAGGAUCUUAGUCCUGCUUAAAGCUUCAAUUAUACCCAUAAAUUUUUAACUUUAAAGUCAUUCAAACAAGGUACAGCCUGUUUGAAAAAGGAGACAACCUCAAUAACUGGGUUAUACCAACAAAUUCAUAACAAAGUAGGCUUAAAAGCAGCCACCUUUAACAAAAGCGUCAAAGCUUAUUUAUAUGUUUAUUAAAUUCCUUAAUUUUUUCCUCUAACCCUUCCCCCACCAAAGAGCAAUUCUAUACUUCUAUAGAAAAUUUUAUGUUAAAACUAGUAAUAAGAAGCAGAUCCUUCUCUUUAAUGUAAACCUAUAUCAGCAAGGACACCCCCACUGACUUUUAACGCUACUAAAAUUAUAGUAGAAACUAAUCAAGAAAAUUCUACUUCUUCUAACGUUAACCUUACACAAGAACAUUUAAAGAAAGAUUAAAAAGAAAAGAAGGAACUCGGCAAACAUUAGCCCCGCCUGUUUACCAAAAACAUCGCCUCUUGUUUAUUAAUAAGAGGUCCAGCCUGCCCAGUGACUCUGUUCAACGGCCGCGGUAUCCUAACCGUGCGAAGGUAGCGUAAUCACUUGUUCUUUAAAUGAGGACUAGUAUGAAUGGCCCCACGAAGGCUACACUGUCUCCUUUUCUUAAUCAAUGAAACUAAUCUUCCCGUGAAGAAGCGGGAAUGUACAUAUAAGACGAGAAGACCCUAUGGAGCUUUAAACUACCGAAACACUUGCUUUAUUCUUCUUACGCUCCUGAGCCCCCUUCUAAUUAUUCAAGCAUUUUUAACUUCAAGUUUUAGGUUGGGGUGACCACGGAGCAAAAUUUAACCUCCAUGAUGUAAGAGGCUUUACUCUUAGCCAAAAGCCACUUUUUUAAGCAUCAAUAAAUUGACUCUCAUUGACCCAAUUAUUUGAUCAACGAACCAAGUUACCCUAGGGAUAACAGCGCAAUCUACUUCAAGAGCUCAUAUCGACAAGUAGGCUUACGACCUCGAUGUUGGAUCAGGGUAUCCUAGUGGUGCAGCCGCUACGAACGGUUCGUUGUCAACGAUAAA
RNAcentral lists this ribosomal RNA (1419 nucleotides) under Silverstoneia nubicola (Boquete rocket frog). RNAcentral's name for it is "partial 16S ribosomal RNA". It matches the Rfam family "Bacterial large subunit ribosomal RNA", at positions 436 to 2591 of the family's 2925-position model. The record is from RNAcentral. Lineage: Eukaryota; Metazoa; Chordata; Amphibia; Anura; Dendrobatidae.